UACGAAGGGUGCUAGCGUUGCUCGGAAUUACUGGGCGUAAAGCGCACGUAGGCGGCUUUCUAAGUCGGGGGUGAAAUCCUGGAGCUCAACUCCAGAACUGCCUUCGAUACUGGAGAGCUUGAGUCCGGGAGAGGUGAGUGGAACUGCGAGUGUAGAGGUGAAAUUCGUAGAUAUUCGCAAGAACACCAGUGGCGAAGGCGGCGCACUGGCCCGGUACUGACGCUGAGGCGCGAAAGCUAGGGGAGCAAACAGG
RNAcentral lists this ribosomal RNA (253 nucleotides) under uncultured bacterium. RNAcentral's name for it is "partial 16S ribosomal RNA". It matches the Rfam family "Bacterial small subunit ribosomal RNA", at positions 524 to 776 of the family's 1533-position model. The record is from RNAcentral.